RNAcentral lists this unclassified non-coding RNA (553 nucleotides) under Hevea brasiliensis (rubber tree). The record is from RNAcentral. Lineage: Eukaryota; Viridiplantae; Streptophyta; Magnoliopsida; Malpighiales; Euphorbiaceae.
AGCAGAAGUCAAGUUAUUUUUAGAGGAUAUUCGGUCACACACUUCAGGGGAGGUCCAUGGAACUCAGGGGGGCAGUGCCAUAAAGAAAGGGAACCAAUAUUCAACAAGUCUUAUUUAGCAAAAUACCCUUCAAAAAUGAAAGUGCUACAUCACGUCCUUCAUAAUAUGACUACCCCUGUCAUUUAUAUGAACAUUAGUAGGCUUACAGACUAUCGUAAAGAUGGUCAUCCAUCGAUAUACAGAAAGGAGUACAAGAGAGUAGAAGAAGCAAUACACUCUCAGGAUUGCAGUCAUUGGUGCUUACCAGGUGUACCCGACACUUGGAACGAGUUGUUAUAUGCGUCUCUCCUGAAAACCAGAAAAGGCUCUUGGAACAACUGAACUUUUUCUUUAUUGCUCAUUCUUGUCAAUGCAAAAAAGAAGCUGGGGAUGUUCGUGUGUAUUAGAUAGAUCAGUAUUGGAGAUGAGAAUAUUGAGCUAAUCACACUAUUUUUCAUUAUCUAACAAUGUGAUAUCUUGUAUUUAAGUAACAAUCAAAGCAUAAACACAAAAU